GUCAACGUCAAGGUCAAGGCCAAGAUUAAGGCCAAGGCCAAGGUCAAGAUCAAGGCCAAGAUCACCGUUAAGAUUAAGGUCAAGGGUUAUCGCGGUGGUGCCUCAGGGAUGACGAAGUUUUGGAUGGAAAAAGAUACUUAACAUGUGGAGCAGGUAGAGGUAUCUUGGUCAGGCUUGGUGAGGUUGUCUAGUGUUGCAGAUGACAAUUACAGUAAUAUGGCUCCUGUACUCUUGGCUCCCUCUGUGAUAGAACAAGAAAAGUCAGACAGUCUCUCCACCAUCUUGAGGUGUUCAUCCACUAUUUAAACGACAUUUCGUCGGCCAAUCACAGCAACUUCAGCAAGUUACACCGUGUGUUUGUGAAUUCAGUAGAAGUUAGCAAGCUUAUCUUAAGGCACGUUGAAUUUUAAGGUUUAACGAAAGUAUGGUACUAAAGUCGAUACUGUAGAACGUUAGCGUCCAGACGUUUCUUAAUGAAAGCAUCAGGUGAAUUUUUGAGCUAAUCUUUCAAUCAUUUUACUCUCUCCUUUGUCUUUUUGUGCUUCUAGUUUCAUGCACGUAGCAUUUUGUUGAUUUUUUGAAACUACAAAAGGAAGUUGGAUACUUAGUAAACUAAUUGCAAUUUUAAAAAUCCGAGACCUCAUUACUAUAUCAGCGGCUAACCGAGAGAAAAUACGUGGAUAUAUUUUCU
Stylophora pistillata is the source of this 691-nucleotide long non-coding RNA. The record is from RefSeq and is a predicted model, not a curated record. Lineage: Eukaryota; Metazoa; Cnidaria; Anthozoa; Scleractinia; Pocilloporidae.